UCUUUAUCCACAUUAUAGCAGGGGGGUGUAAAGCCAUAACACCAUCUGUGUUCUGUUAGACAGGUAACUCUUUAUCCACAUUAUAGCAGGGGGUGUAAAGCCAUAACACCCUCUGUGUUCUGUUAGACAGGUAACUCUUUAUCCACAUUAUAGCAGGGGGUGUAAAGCCAUAACACCAUCUGUGUUCUGUUAGACAGGUAACUCUUUAUCCACAUUAUAGCAGGGGGUGUAAAGCCAUAACACCCUCUGUGUUCUGUUAGACAGGUAACUCUUUAUACACAUUAUAGCAGGGGGUGUAAAGCCAUAACACCAUCUGUGUUCUGUUAGACAGGUAACUCUUUAUCCACAUUAUAGCAGGGGGUGUAAAGCCAUAACACCCUCUGUGUUCUGUUAGACA
Oncorhynchus keta (chum salmon) is the source of this 397-nucleotide long non-coding RNA. RefSeq lists it as uncharacterized. Lineage: Eukaryota; Metazoa; Chordata; Actinopteri; Salmoniformes; Salmonidae. The record is from RefSeq and is a predicted model, not a curated record. The transcript has 3 exons.